RNAcentral lists this microRNA precursor (73 nucleotides) under Myotis davidii. RNAcentral's name for it is "mir-9193 microRNA precursor family". It matches the Rfam family "mir-9193 microRNA precursor family". Lineage: Eukaryota; Metazoa; Chordata; Mammalia; Chiroptera; Vespertilionidae. The record is from Rfam by way of RNAcentral.
GAGGGGGGAGGGUGUCCCUCAGCCCAGAUUGCAAGAGGGUGUAGGCCAGGCCAAGGGACCCCACUGGAGCCGG